Molecule: non-coding RNA, 433 nt
Organism: Cricetulus griseus (Chinese hamster)
Lineage: Eukaryota; Metazoa; Chordata; Mammalia; Rodentia; Cricetidae
Source: RefSeq, a predicted model, not a curated record
AGGAGAGAAGGAGGAUUCUGGGAAAUGUAGUAAAGGGAGGAGUCGCCAUGUGAUCCUAGCAAGAGAGGACUCAUGCCACCAUUGUCCUUGAUAAGGGUAAAAUUUGCCAUUGUUUCAUGCCUGCUGCACACUACACAGUGGUACCUUGGUGAGGACUCCACUCACAAAUCAAGGGAGCAAGAGUGAGCCUGUUCGCAUGUGAGCUCCCAUGAAAGAUCUGUGAAGACCCCACGGAACUGUGUAAAUCUCAAGAGGAUGACAGCCAGACUGAGACAGUACAACACCACUUGCUCUACAUGCUUCCCAUAGCCUUAUGUGUUAGAUGUGGUUAGGCUGGACCAUAAACUGUAAGUUCUUGCCCUGUUUUAACGAGUAUGUGACACAGCCAUUGGGAGAAUAAAGCAAAAUUCUGAGCUAAAAAUGAACAUGCAAA